UGUUGGACUGUGUUUUAUUUCAUGAUACUGAAAGGUUAACAGUUAGCGUAGUUAUAAUAACAUUUGUUUUCAGCUGUAUCAGUCUGUUUUUUAUGUGUUGCAAACAAGGUUGGGAGUUACAGGUAAUGUGAAUUCACUAACCCGGCUAACGCUUCUAGCUUUGCUAACAUGUAGCAUGUUACUUCUAGAAUUACUGUGAAUGCAGUUAAAGUCUGACUCAUAUUUAUCUCCAACUCUUUCAUUCCACUUAAUGUGCCCUGUUAUGUGUAGUGUAUGUGUUCCACCUUAAGAAAGAAAGAGAUAUUCUUCCUUAACAAAGAGAGGUCUUUGUUAAUAAAGUUUGUUCAAAUUAGUGAGGUCACUUCCUUUAAAAAUUAGGAAGAGAAGCCUAAGAAAUAAACAGGCUCUCAUCAUCCAAAGCCAUCUUGCAUUUAGGAUUGAAAAACAAAUGUUUUUUUACUCCCUGUUCACUGAAAGAGUCCAGUGAAACAACAAAACUUUACAACGACGACUCACCGGAUUCUUUGAAAGGACUAAGAAAACCCGGCCCCUCCUCUAGCAGAUUCUUUCCCUCUUCGCCUCGGCCCGGUCCUGUACAGCGGCAGGUCUUUGUCUGGAGCCCGCCUGUAAUUGGUGCCGCUUGGGGAGCAGGGAUGUGUACGACGGAAGGCAGGUCAAACGCGGCGAAGGCUGUGACAUGGGUGACAUCCAAACUCACCCGGUGUUUUCAUGUCCUUAGGGCCAGCCCCUGGAGGAACAAGAGCACGAGAGAAGUGAGAAGUGAGGAAGAAUGGGCCUCCUCUUCCCGACACAAUGAGAGCCAUUGAAGAAAGGGAAUGAGCGGGAUGGCAGCGGGGAGGAGACAGUGUCCCACUAUGACGAGCAGUGGGUCAUUGUCAGCGCCUCUGACUGUAAUGCUACAUACACGCCGCCCUCGGCAACCCGCGUUCACCAGACCACUUUCAAUGAAAGAUCUAUGUAAACGUGUGUUUUUACAACCAUUUUGGGGCUCUACAAAAAAAAUGUGAGUUCAUUGAGAGCAUAUUAAAAAUUAACCAGGUUGAACUUUGACCAAUCAGAGACUUGGAUUUGGUAUUGACAUAUCAACACGUUCUCAUCCCCAAGUCGCUGCAUAUUGACUUUUGGUUAAGGACACCUCCACGUCACUUUUGAACGUUUUGGAUGUCCCCAACUCAUCGUUUUUUGAUGUGCCGGCUGUUACAAUUAAAUCACGAGUCCCCAACAUCCAGGCCCCGAACCGGUCCAGUACUGGGACGUGGAGCGGACCGGUACCUAAACUCGGCAUCUGUACUCCAACCCUAACUAGAUGCGAUACGGAUCCCAAACCACUACCAGAUGCGGUACCGGGCAUGAACUGGAUGUGUUACCGGAUGCAAACAGUACUGGUACUAGAUGCGUCCAAAGGACCAGCCCGCAUUCAGUACCGCAUCUGAUACUGUGUUCUGAGGUCUGCAGACCCUUGAUUUUACGCUAGCACGUCAAGAACACAACAAGUUAGGGAUACCCAAAACGAGUUGGGGAUGAGAAUGUUGGCAUCCCUUUUCAUUCAUACAAGCGCCAACUGUUUAAAAAAUAAUUAUGGAGCAGAAACUAAUAAUUGUAGUCAACAAACCAAAAGAAGCAAGUAACUAUGAUAUAAAAAUAAAUUCAAAUGUUUAACGAUUAAAUAAAACAACUGAUAGAAAUAUAAGUCAUUUGUAAAGUAGAACAAUAAAAACAGAUGAAAAAUAAAAAAAUAAAAAAAAACUCAGCAUUUAAAUGGAGUGGAAAUAGGGUGAACAAUGCAUGCCGCCUGCAUGCUCUCUCUCUGCUGCUGCUGAGCUCUCACAGGACUGGUGAGGGUGGUGAGGCAGCGACUCAGCUGGGGCCUUUUGGCCGAUACAGAAAAGCUUCAAACAAGAGUGGAAAUAUCACACUACUCUUUACUAAGAUGAAAACUGAAGUCAUGGCAGCAGAUGUGAAAGCAUUAUCGUGAGCCACUUGGACUUCAUAGAAUUAGACUUCACAAUAACUGUUAACUUAAAAACAGAAGACUGGCAGCUAAAAUCUCAUGUCCUCCAAACUCAGGUAAGCGACACUGAAAGCUGCAUUGAUAAUCGUUUCAUAAUCGAAUCGUUGCACCCUGAAUUGUGAUCAAAUCAAAUCGUGAGAUGCCUCAAGAUGUGAACACCAUACGCAAGUUCUAGAAGACAACAAGUGCAGCAUGGCCAGCGUGAACUUAGCAUCAUAGCUCUUCCUGUUUGUCACAGGAAAUUAUACAGAAGGUCGAAUCUUCACUUUUGUGGGUGUGACUCCAUACAGCUACCCAAACUGUAGAAAUUGUAUUUUUUAUCCAACACCCUAGAAUUUAUCUCCAUAAACUGAAAAAAAAAGAAAAAA
Oryzias melastigma (Indian medaka) is the source of this 2400-nucleotide long non-coding RNA. RefSeq lists it as uncharacterized. The record is from RefSeq and is a predicted model, not a curated record. Lineage: Eukaryota; Metazoa; Chordata; Actinopteri; Beloniformes; Adrianichthyidae. The transcript is spliced from 3 exons.